Molecule: long non-coding RNA, 414 nt
Filed under: Eutrema salsugineum
Lineage: Eukaryota; Viridiplantae; Streptophyta; Magnoliopsida; Brassicales; Brassicaceae
Description: long non-coding RNA (ESAL_LNC001405)
Source: RNAcentral
UUGGUUUUAAGUUCAAAAGUCAAUAACAGAUUUAUCCUCUAAUUCCAUGAUUGUAUGGAGCCUUCAUCCUGUUGAUAGCCAAAAAAACAACCAUGUCAAACUAUUUAUUAUAAAACAAUUAUGAAAAAGAUACAUACAUAUGUAUUCAUCAGAAAAAAGUAGGAAAAAAAUUGAGGGUAAGAGUAUAUAUAUACUUGGAAUGAUGAUUAUUGGUAUGUAGAAAAUGAGGACAUUUAAGUGAGAUACAAUUGGGGACGCAAUUUGGAUCAAGAUUGGUCGAGCACACAUCCUGACAACAUCUCACACAAUCUGCACCUGACUGAGUCAUGACCUCUCCUAUUAGGAUUCCAACUAACACCAUCAUCAUUAUCACUUUCAUCAUCCCCAUCUCUUCUUCUUCUUUUAAUCUUUAAU